GGGGAAUAUUGCACAAUGGGCGAAAGCCUGAUGCAGCAACGCCGCGUGAGUGAUGACGGUCUUCGGAUUGUAAAGCUCUGUCCUUUGGGACGAUAAUGACGGUACCAAAGGAGGAAGCCACGGCUAACUACGUGCCAGCAGCCGCGGUAAUACGUAGGUGGCAAGCGUUGUCCGGAUUUACUGGGCGUAAAGGAUGUGUAGGCGGAUACUUAAGUGAGAUGUGAAAGCCCCGGGCUCAACCUGGGGACUGCAUUUCAAACUGGGUAUCUAGAGUGCAGGAGAGGAAAGCGGAAUUCCUAGUGUAGCGGUGAAAUGCGUAGAGAUUAGGAAGAACAUCAGUGGCGAAGGCGGCUUACGGGAGCACAACUGACGCUGAAGCUCGAAAGUGCGGGUAUCGAAC
Molecule: ribosomal RNA, 400 nt
Filed under: uncultured bacterium
Lineage: Bacteria
Description: bacterial SSU rRNA
Rfam family: Bacterial small subunit ribosomal RNA
Source: RNAcentral